RNAcentral lists this ribosomal RNA (535 nucleotides) under Shewanella putrefaciens. RNAcentral's name for it is "bacterial SSU rRNA". It matches the Rfam family "Bacterial small subunit ribosomal RNA", at positions 1 to 522 of the family's 1533-position model. The record is from RNAcentral. Lineage: Bacteria; Pseudomonadati; Pseudomonadota; Gammaproteobacteria; Alteromonadales; Shewanellaceae.
UGGAGAGUUUGAUCCUGGCUCAGAUUGAACGCUGGCGGCAGGUUUCCUAACACAUGCAAGUCGAGCGGCAGCACAAGGGAGUUUACUUCUGAGGUGGCGAGCGGCGGACGGGUGAGUAAUGCCUAGGGAUCUGCCCAGUCGAGGGGGAUAACAGUUGGAAACGACUGCUAAUACCGCAUACGCCCUACGGGGGAAAGAGGGGGACCUUCGGGCCUCUCGCGAUUGGAUGAACCUAGGUGGGAUUAGCUAGUUGGUGAGGUAAUGGCUCACCAAGGCGACGAUCCCUAGCUGUUCUGAGAGGAUGAUCAGCCACACUGGGACUGAGACACGGCCCAGACUCCUACGGGAGGCAGCAGUGGGGAAUAUUGCACAAUGGGGGAAACCCUGAUGCAGCCAUGCCGCGUGUGUGAAGAAGGCCUUCGGGUUGUAAAGCACUUUCAGUAGGGAGGAAAGGGUGAGUCUUAAUACGGCUCAUCUGUGACGUUACCCAAAAAAGGGCCAAGGACCAGCUAACUCCGUGCCAGCAGCCGCGGUA